UGACUGAGCUGAAGGCAAAGGGUCCCCGGGCUCCCCACGUGGCGGGCGGCCCGCCCUCCCCCGAGGUCGGAUCCCCACUGCUGUGUCGCCCAGCCGCAGGUCCGUUCCCGGGGAGCCAGACCUCGGACACCUUGCCUGAAGUUUCGGCCAUACCUAUCUCCCUGGACGGGCUACUCUUCCCUCGGCCCUGCCAGGGACAGGACCCCUCCGACGAAAAGACGCAGGACCAGCAGUCGCUGUC
This 241-nucleotide long non-coding RNA is filed under the name Homo sapiens (human). Its description in RNAcentral is "non-protein coding lnc-TRPC6-3:1". Lineage: Eukaryota; Metazoa; Chordata; Mammalia; Primates; Hominidae. The record is from RNAcentral.